Molecule: long non-coding RNA, 570 nt
Organism: Cyprinus carpio (common carp)
Lineage: Eukaryota; Metazoa; Chordata; Actinopteri; Cypriniformes; Cyprinidae
Exons: 3
Source: RefSeq, a predicted model, not a curated record
GGGAUUUAUGAGAUGAAUAUUACAAUUUAUUGUAAACAAAAAUGUUAUAUUUAAAUGGUGGUUUUUGUAUGUUUUUCUUGUAUAUCUUUGUCGGUUCUUUUGAUAACCUCCUCUUGGAGUGGGAGGUGUGACGACCCUGAGUCUUCUCCAGAUCCUAUUGGACGGAGUGUGGCAGUUCCUAAUUGAUCUUCUCUGUUAAUUGUAAAUUAUUAACAUAUAUAAAAGAGUUACCUGUUGACUAAGACAGGCACUCUGUGGGAUGGUUUCUCUGGAGUGGCUCUGGUUUCAACAUAUUUAAAACGAGCUGGUCGUAACGGGGGCAGCCUCUGACGUGAUACCUGCGAUAGCCAAUGAGAGUGAGCAAGCAUCACCUACCAGAUGUUGCGUGCUUCUAUAGCUGUCAGCCACAAAUAUGUCACAAAAGCAGAGUACUGAUAAGGAUAUAUAUUCUUUUUUUAUUCAUAUUCUUUUUUUUAUACCUAGUUUUUUUUUUUUUUUUUAUUAAAUAGAAACAAAAUGCAUGCCAGGAGAGCCAGCUGACAAUAUCAAUUGUUCUUUAUUUGUUUUCCU